GAAUAGCGGCGCGAUUCGCCCUUAGAGUUUGAUCCUGGCUCAGAUUGAACGCUGGCGGCAUGCCUUACACAUGCAAGUCGAACGGCAGCACGGGUGCUUGCACCUGGUGGCGAGUGGCGAACGGGUGAGUAGUGCAUCGGAACGUACCCAGUAGUGGGGGAUAACUACCCGAAAGGGUGGCUAAUACCGCAUAUACUGUGCGCAGGAAAGCAGGGGACCGUAAGGCCUUGUGCUACUGGAGCGGCCGAUGUCAGAUUAGCUAGUUGGUGGGGUAAAGGCCUACCAAGGCGACGACCUGUAGCGGGUCUGAGAGGAUGAUCCGCCACACUGGGACUGAGACACGGCCCAGACUCCUACGGGAGGCAGCAGUGGGGAAUUUUGGACAAUGGGGGCAACCCUGAUCCAGCCAUGCCGCGUGAGUGAAGAAGGCCUUCGGGUUGUAAAGCUCUUUCGGACGGAAAGAAAACGGAUGGGUUAAUACCCUGUUCGGAUGACGGUACCGUCAUAAGAAGCACCGGCUAACUACGUGCCAGCAGCCGCGGUAAUACGUAGGGUGCGAGCGUUAAUCGGAAUUACUGGGCGUAAAGCGUGCGCAGGCGGUUGAUUAAGACAGGCGUGAAAUCCCCGGGCUUAACCUGGGAACUGCGCUUGUGACUGGUCGGCUAGAGUACGGCAGAGGGGGGUGGAAUUCCACGUGUAGCAGUGAAAUGCGUAUAGAUGUGGAGGAACACCGAUGGCGAAUGCAGCCCCCUGGGCCGAUACUGACGCUCAUGCACGAAAGCGUGGGUAGCAAACAGGAUUAGAUACCCUGGUAGUCCACGCCCUAAACGAUGUCAACUAGUUGUUGGGAGGGUAAAACCUUUUAGUAACGUAGCUAACGCGUGAAGUUGACCGCCUGGGGAGUACGGCCGCAAGCUAAAACUCAUAGGAAUUGACGGGACCCGCACAAGCGGUGGAUGAUGUGAUUAAUUCGAUGCAACGCGAAAACCUUACCUACUCUUGACAUGUCAGAGAUCCCUGAGAGAUUGGGGUGCUGCUGCAAGAAAUCUGAACACAGUGCUGCAUGACUGUCGUCAGCCUCGUGUCCGUGAGAUGUAGGAUAAGAUCCGCAAGCGGUCCUAACCAUUGUCGUAAGUGGCCAUCAAUAGGGUUGGGGCCACUUUUAACC
This 1168-nucleotide ribosomal RNA is filed under the name uncultured beta proteobacterium. RNAcentral describes it as "bacterial SSU rRNA". It matches the Rfam family "Bacterial small subunit ribosomal RNA", at positions 1 to 1148 of the family's 1533-position model. The record is from RNAcentral. Lineage: Bacteria; Pseudomonadati; Pseudomonadota; Betaproteobacteria.